RNAcentral lists this ribosomal RNA (255 nucleotides) under uncultured bacterium. Its description in RNAcentral is "partial 16S ribosomal RNA". It matches the Rfam family "Bacterial small subunit ribosomal RNA", at positions 524 to 776 of the family's 1533-position model. The record is from RNAcentral.
UACGUAGGGCGCAAGCGUUAUCCGGAAUUAUUGGGCGUAAAGAGCUCGUAGGCGGUUUGUCGCGUCUGCCGUGAAAAGUCCGGGGGCUCAACUCCGGAUCUGCGGUGGGUACGGGCAGACUAGAGUGAUGUAGGGGAGACUGGAAUUCCUGGUGUAGCGGUGAAAUGCGCAGAUAUCAGGAGGAGCACCGAUGGCGAAGGCAGGUCUCUGGGCCACUACUGACGCUGAGAAGCGAAAGCAUGGGGAGCGAACAGG